GUUCUGUAGCUCUGGGAUGGAGAACGCGUCCCACUGCAGGAACAGCAAAGCAGAGGCAAACAAGGCACGAGCAGCCCAUUCAGCUGAUAAGUUUGGGGAACAGCUGGAAUCAAGCAACACUUUAGGAGGUAAAACCAACAGCGUUAGAAGGGGGAGAAGCCUGGCUCAUGCCUGCUGGGCAUCUGCAGGUCCAUCCCAUUGCCAAACACUACGUGGUCAUGCACUAACCAAGGGAAGGAGCCCCAGACGUACCUCCACUUCCCCGGUCUCGUUCUCCUUCAGCACAAAGCUGAGCACGUCGGUGUCGGGGCCGGCCAGCAGCCGCAGCGCGAACUUCUGUGGGUUAUCCACCACCAUGAACUUCUUCAGCAGCCCCUGGAUCACCUCGCUCACCGUGGUCGUGCUGCUGAUGUGCAGCUGCUUGAUGGCAUCCAGAGGCAGGUAGAAGGAUGUCCUCCUAUCCGUGGUGUCCGCCAGGUUCACCUCCUUGAGGGCAUCGUAGAUGGACUGCGGUCGGAUCCCCGCCGGCACCGUCACCGGGCGGCGCAGCUUCAGGUGCACCUUAAUGAAGCCGGUGUAGGUGCCAUCAUCACUCUGCACAAUGA
This 605-nucleotide long non-coding RNA is filed under the name Gallus gallus (chicken). RNAcentral's name for it is "long non-coding RNA NONGGAT005416". Lineage: Eukaryota; Metazoa; Chordata; Aves; Galliformes; Phasianidae. The record is from RNAcentral.